Molecule: ribosomal RNA, 116 nt
Filed under: Streptococcus salivarius M18
Lineage: Bacteria; Bacillati; Bacillota; Bacilli; Lactobacillales; Streptococcaceae
Source: RNAcentral
UUAAGUGACGAUAGCCUAGGAGAUACACCUGUUCCCAUGCCGAACACAGAAGUUAAGCCCUAGUACGCCUGAUGUAGUUGGGGGUUGCCCCCUGUUAGAUACGGUAGUCGCUUAAC